Globicephala melas (long-finned pilot whale) is the source of this 1297-nucleotide long non-coding RNA. RefSeq lists it as uncharacterized. Lineage: Eukaryota; Metazoa; Chordata; Mammalia; Artiodactyla; Delphinidae. The record is from RefSeq and is a predicted model, not a curated record.
AUCAAAACAUCACCUUUUAAGCCUUAAAAUAAGAUUAUGUUUUUUGUAAACAAUCAAGUGUUUAGUCACUACCAUAGCAACAGAUGCUACAGAUGGCUGGUCCAGGAGAUGGGCUGGCCUGGGGUUGAAGGGAGGAAGUGUUCCUUCUUCAUUCUUUAAUCUUUGCAGUGCUAUUAUCUGAUCUGAAGAACCCAUAGCUAAAAAGACUCGAAGACUCCCAUUUUGGUGGCCUGAGAACACAUCAAUCACAGGCAUGUAGCUGUCGACAGCAACAACUGGAUACUGAGCAUCAAGCAGCAGGCGAGAAAUCUUGGGAUCUCUAAAGGGAGAGAAAUUGUGCACGAGUACUCAUGGACAGGAUCUAGGUCUUGCUAUCUGGAUCCAUCCACAGGAACUGUUAACAAAAGGUCUGGGCCCAGCAAGCGCACACCCACUAGACCAGUUUACCUGCUUAUCCCACCACGGAAAGAGAAGUAAGACAACACCUACACCUCAGUGGUGUGCUGAGAGGAUCAACUGAGUUUCAGAUUCAGUGACUUACGGGUGCUGUGUAAAACAAGUUCUCCAGGAGACUCUGGUCAUACUGAGGGUCACUGGGCUCACUGCUGCAAUACACAUCACUCCCAGGAGAUGGGGAAUCUGGAGGAGAGCCUAGUCCGUCCCAGUAACGACCUUGGGAUAAUUCGGCACUGCAGAGAUAAGAAAAACAAAGCAGGACUUUAAGAGAAGUUUCAGCUGAGCUAUUCUUUUUCUUAUUAAACGCUUUGAAGUUCUAAAUGUGGAAGAAAAUAUGUUAAACAGAAGACUUACAUUAAACAGAAGAUUAUCUGAUAAAUAGUUUCAUAGUAUAUUCCCCCUCCUCUGGGGUGUCAACAGCUAGCAUUCAAAAAAUACACUACUGACAGUGAUUGUGAUCGCAUUCAUUUAUUUAACAAACAUUUUAGUGGGUAACUAUUAUGUGCCAGGCAUGGUGUUAGGUCCUGAAUGCUACAGAGAUGGCUAACCUAACUUGUUCUACUCUUGUGCUGCUUAUGGUCUAGUAGGGAGGAAAAAAGGCAAAGAAUUAACUAUAAUUCAAUGAGUUAAAUGUUAUAUACUGUUUUUGUGAAGAAUGGCUAAUUCAUAAAUAUGCCUUCUAUUAAGCAAAAAUAUGUGUAUUUAGGUUAAUUAUGGCAAGAUUAGUUCUAUGUGGGAUAGAGAAAUAAGUAAAACAGAUACUCUAGUUAUAAAGAGUUUGUAAACUAAUAAGAAACAUAAGCAUACAAAUACGUGUAUAUUUCAUUCAUUUUUGUUUCUC